This 84-nucleotide transfer RNA is filed under the name Candidatus Omnitrophota bacterium. RNAcentral describes it as "Candidatus Omnitrophica bacterium (aquatic metagenome) tRNA-Leu". It matches the Rfam family "tRNA". Rfam says of the family: Transfer RNA (tRNA) molecules are approximately 80 nucleotides in length. The record is from RNAcentral. Lineage: Bacteria; Pseudomonadati; Candidatus Omnitrophota.
GCCGGGGUGGUGGAAUUGGUAUUCACGCCGGUCUCAAAAACCGGUGAUCGAAAGAUCGUGAGGGUUCGAGUCCCUCUCCCGGCA